Molecule: small RNA, 675 nt
Filed under: Pan troglodytes (chimpanzee)
Lineage: Eukaryota; Metazoa; Chordata; Mammalia; Primates; Hominidae
Description: processed transcript
Source: RNAcentral
AUGAGGGUUGCCAGGCAGGUGCUGAGUUGGAGGAAUUGUCAAAGAAAGCAGGGCCGGAGGAGGAAGAGGAGGAGGAGGAGGAGGAGGACGAAGAAGGGGAGAAGAAGAGCAGCUUUAAGUGCAGCAUUUGCGAGAAGGCGUUUCUGUAUGAGAAGAGCUUCCUGAAGCACAGCAAGCACCGCCACGGCGUGGCCACCGAGGUGGUGUACCGCUGCGACACCUGCGGCCAGACCUUCGCCAACCGCUGCAACCUGAAGAGCCACCAGCGCCACGUGCACAGCAGCGAGCGCCAUUUCCCAUGCGAGCUGUGCGGGAAGAAGUUCAAGCGCAAGAAGGACGUGAAGCGGCACGUGCUGCAGGUGCAUGAGGGCGGCGGCGAGCGGCACCGCUGCGGCCAGUGCGGCAAGGGCCUGAGUUCCAAGACAGCGCUGCGGCUGCACGAGCGCACACACACGGGAGACCGGCCCUACGGCUGCACCGAGUGCGGCGCCAGGUUCUCGCAGCCGUCCGCGCUCAAGACGCACAUGAGGUGAAAGACCUUUUAUGUGUGAAACAUGUGGCAAGAGUUUUGCUUCUAAGGAGUACUUAAAACACCACAAUAGAAUCCAUACUGGAUCCAAACCCUUUAAAUGUGAAGUAUGUUUCAGGACUUUUGCCCAGCGGAAUUCACUCUAC